CCUGCUCAAGCUGAGCAUCGUGGGCUGGG
This 29-nucleotide non-coding RNA is filed under the name Cricetulus griseus (Chinese hamster). The record is from RNAcentral. Lineage: Eukaryota; Metazoa; Chordata; Mammalia; Rodentia; Cricetidae.